Molecule: ribosomal RNA, 302 nt
Filed under: uncultured bacterium
Lineage: Bacteria
Description: partial 16S ribosomal RNA
Rfam family: Bacterial small subunit ribosomal RNA
Source: RNAcentral
GCAGCAGCCGCGGUAAUACGUAGGUGGCAAGCGUUGUCCGGAAUUAUUGGGCGUAAAGGGCUCGCAGGCGGUUUCUUAAGUCUGAUGUGAAAGCCCCCGGCUCAACCGGGGAGGGUUAUUGGAAACUGGGAAACUUGAGUGCAGAAGAGGAGAGUGGAAUUCCACGUGUAGCGGUGAAAUGCGUAGAGAUGUGGAGGAACACCAGUGGCGAAGGCGACUCUCUGGUCUGUAACUGACGCUGAGGAGCGAAAGCGUGGGGAGCGAACAGGAUUAGAUACCCCAGUAGUCCCUGUCUCUUAUAA